This 989-nucleotide ribosomal RNA is filed under the name bacterium enrichment culture clone B-MY40. Its description in RNAcentral is "bacterial SSU rRNA". It matches the Rfam family "Bacterial small subunit ribosomal RNA", at positions 471 to 1461 of the family's 1533-position model. The record is from RNAcentral.
GACGUUACUCGCAGAAUAAGCACCGGCUAACUCUGUGCCAGCAGCCGCGGUAAUACAGAGGGUGCGAGCGUUAAUCGGAUUUACUGGGCGUAAAGCGUGCGUAGGCGGCUUUUUAAGUCGGAUGUGAAAUUCCCGAGCUUAACUUGGGAAUUGCAUUCGAUACUGGGAAGCUAGAGUAUGGGAGAGGAUGGUAGAAUUCCAGGUGUAGCGGCGAAAUGCGUAGAGAUCUGGAGGAAUACCGAUGGCGAAGGCAGCCAUCUGGCCUAAUACUGACGCUGAGGUACGAAAGCAUGGGGAGCAAACAGGAUUAGAUACCCUGGUAGUCCAUGCCGUAAACGAUGUCUACUAGCCGUUGGGGCCUUUGAGGCUUUAGUGGCGCAGCUAACGCGAUAAGUAGACCGCCUGGGGAGUACGGUCGCAAGACUAAAACUCAAAUGAAUUGACGGGGGCCCGCACAAGCGGUGGAGCAUGUGGUUUAAUUCGAUGCAACGCGAAGAACCUUACCUGGCCUUGACAUACUAGAAACUUUCCAGAGAUGGAUUGGUGCCUUCGGGAAUCUAGAUACAGGUGCUGCAUGGCUGUCGUCAGCUCGUGUCGUGAGAUGUUGGGUUAAGUCCCGCAACGAGCGCAACCCUUUUCCUUACUUGCCAGCAUUUCGGAUGGGAACUUUAAGGAUACUGCCAGUGACAAACUGGAGGAAGGCGGGGACGACGUCAAGUCAUCAUGGCCCUUACGGCCAGGGCUACACACGUGCUACAAUGGUCGGUACAAAGGGUUGCCAAGCCGCGAGGUGGAGCUAAUCCCAUAAAACCGAUCGUAGUCCGGAUCGCAGUCUGCAACUCGACUGCGUGAAGUCGGAAUCGCUAGUAAUCGUGAAUCAGAAUGUCACGGUGAAUACGUUCCCGGGCCUUGUACACACCGCCCGUCACACCAUGGGAGUGGGUUGCUCCAGAAGUAGCUAGUCUAACCGCAAGGGGGACGGUACCACG